Long non-coding RNA from Cercocebus atys (sooty mangabey), 4084 nucleotides. RefSeq lists it as uncharacterized. The record is from RefSeq and is a predicted model, not a curated record. The transcript has 4 exons. Lineage: Eukaryota; Metazoa; Chordata; Mammalia; Primates; Cercopithecidae.
UGACCUCGUGAUCUGCCCGCCUCAGCGUCCCAAAGUGCUGGGAUUACAGGUGUGAGCCACCAUGCCCAGCCCAUCUGACGAAUCUUUGUUGUGAGCACUGGAAACUCGAUGGCAAGAAACGGACACUGUCCCUGCCCUCAGAAGAUUAUCCUCAAGUCUGAUGGAUAUAAUAGCCCAAUGCUAUACAGGUGGUUGCUGUCUUGUGUCACCCUGUGUAGAUGAAACUACUAUAAACCUCCAGGUAUGUCACUGCCAAAUUUUCAAAGACUACACUUUUCAUUGCAGAUGUGACUCAUUGUCUUAGUCUGUUUUUGUGUUGCUAUAAGGGAUUACCUGCAGCUGGACAAUUUGUAAGGAAAAGAGGUUUAUUUGGCACACAGCUUUGCAGACUAUACAAGAAGCAUGGCGCCAGCAUCUACUUCUGGUGAGGGCUUCAGAAACUUCCACGCACAGCAGAGGGGGAAGGAGAUCAGGCAUCACCAGGCAAGAGAAGAAGCAAGAGAUAAAAGGGAGGAGGUACCAGGCUUUUUUAAAACUGUCAAUUCUCGUAGGAACUAUUAGAGUGAGAACUCACUCACUACUGGGAGGACGGCACCAAGAUGUUCAUGUGGGAUUUACCCCCAUGAUCAAAGCCCCUCCACCAGGCCCCACCUCCACCAUGGGGGAUUGCACUUCAACAUGAGACUUGGUAGGACCAAACUGUAUCCAAACCAUAGCGCUCAUCAUCCGUUCAUCCAUCCAUUAAUUCAUUUUUCACACAUUUAUUUGGCACAUUUGCUAUGCGUCAAAUGCUGGGUCAAGGUACGUUGAGGGUACAGGGAUGCCCAAGAACACUGCUGCAGAGAACACUGCUGUAGAGGAUUCUCCAGCUGGUGGGUUAAGGAGCUGCCAUCUCCUGCUUCUCUGCCUGUGGAGGAAUAAAUGUGCAAUGGAUAUAUGCAAUUUUUUUGCUGUAGGAUUUAUAGGAAUACUGCCUAGAAAUACUUUUGCUCCAAACUCCUCUCAGGCAGGGCUCACACCUCCAUGGAGCACUCAGCUACUAACUUAUCGAAACCAUUAGUACUCCCAAUUGACACAACUCAGGGCCACCCUUUACAAUCAUCACUAACCAAAGAGCCACAUGCUUCUGAGUGUUGUUUAAUAUGCUGUUGUAAUAUGGAAAUAAGAGGCCUUGAGGGGUCCUGGGAGCCUGUGUGGGGGCUGUCAGUGUCCCAUCCAUAUCCUUCUCCCUUCACCACUUUGGAGCCCUGGAUUUCCAGCUGCCAGCACGUACAUUUCUUCUCCCAUAAGUGUUCUCUGGCUGCCAUGGGAUCCAUGACUCCUGGGACGACUCAGCCAAUUACAGAUGGCGGGACCCUCGGAAGUGCAUCUGCUACACCAGCUCCUGGAUUUCCACAGCAGGCAUCCUAUCAUCAACGGAAGUCAAUUUCAUCCGCCUGAUGGGAAAACACCACAUCCUUCAUAAAUGGAAUCGCCCCCUCUGAAACUGACGUUCCACACAAGCAAAUGACCAACUGUGCUGGCGCUGGUGCAGGAUUAAAGAUGAUGAUCCUAUCUCAUGUUCCUACCACCGCUCAUCAUUUCUAAGCCAUCAUCGUACAGAAACCACUUGAUCUGCUUCUGAUUCGAGUCUCUUCAGGGGUGGAAGCGUAUUGGCCAGGGACACCAAUAGCUCACAGCCCCUGCAUGCCUGUGAGGAAGGAAACAUCCAGCCCAGAGCCUGGGAUAAAAGAAGAAGGCAACCUGCGUUUGUGUGCAAGCCCAUGUUUGCCUGCGGCCCUCAUGCCCUCUGUCCCCACAUCUAGAUGGAUGCUUCCUGAAAAGGUGUUCUCAGCAGCCAGUGUGCUCCUCCGGUGGAGCCCAUACCCCACACUGCCUGGAAAUCCACCUAAGAGACCACACAAGUAUCCAUCUGUAGAACCCAUCUUGUCCUCCAAACUCCAAAGCAGCUUCUACUUCCAGAGAGCCUGACUGCCAUCCAGCAGAGGGGCAAGCGGGGCCAUCGAGGUGUCUGAGUGGAUGCAGGCACCCAGGGAGCCACUCGGAGCCCGUUCUAGUGACUUGGUUAUUUCUGCCAGUACUGCUAUUGUCCAGGAGUGCCUGCAGACCUGAGUUUGGUUUCCUCCACAGAAAACAAGAACUUGUGCACGGGUAGUUUAUUUGUUAGGUAACUCCAGGAAGCAAGAGAAAGAAGUCGGGAGAGACAAGGGGGAUGGAAAAAUUCACAUGGUGGGCAGAUGUUGCUGAACUGCCUGACCCGUGGCUAACUGGGGCUCGGUCCUGCUAAGGAAAUUAUAGAUGUGCCUCAGGGUUUCCUUCUAUUUCCUUCUAGUCACCGACUCCCAACCCUUUCUGGUGGAGGGCUCCCUCUCCUUCUCUCUCUCCACUUCAGGGCUGUCUUGUUGGGCUGAGUGAGCUCUGGGGGCGUUGAAGAAAGACCUGGGGCUAAAAGGAGUGAAAGAUGCAGAGGGCACUUGGAGUGGCACCACUGGCGGCAUGGCAAGUCGUGCCAGACACAGCAGCAACUGAAACAGGGGCCGAGGGGCAUGGCAUGGGGCCUGCUGGUCGCCACAGCCUGUUAGCUCCUGCACCUUUCUUGAGUUGCUGCCAGGAGCUACCCUGUUGGUGGCUACCCUGAUCUUCCCAUGGGGAUACAAAUGGCACAUGGAGGCUAAGCUGGGCGUCAGACAGGCUGCUGGGAUAAGCCAGAGGGGGCGGCAGCUUAGGGUCUGUACAGCUCAGGCUGUUGGUGCACAGUUCCGGGUGGGCGGUGCCGUAGUUCUGUGUGCAGGCUCAGGAGCCAAAUGGUGUGGGUUCAAAUCCUGGCUCUGCCUCUUAUUAACUAUGAGCCUUGAGGUGAGUUCCUUACCGUGUGUCACCUGUAGGAUGGGGAAAACGGAAAGCACGUAGGAAGAUGAAACCACUCUAGAGGGUGGUUGGGAGGCUCUCAUGAAAUCAAGCCUGGGAAGCACUUUGUCCAGGACUGGUGCGGAGAUGGAGGCAAUACCUGGUAGAGGUCAGAAUUAUUAGGUCUUUGACUCAGCAUCCUUCCUGCAAAGGAAAUCAACAUAGAGCUCCUUUCUCGCACACUGCAGCUGCGUAGUAGCACUCUAUUGUCCGCUUUAAUAGCGCCCACCAUUGCAAGCAUGUAAAUGCAGCCACAGUUGUGAGAAGUAGCCCUGGAAGCAUUUCUUUCUCCUCUACUAUGUAAAGGGCAAAAGAGGCAUUGUUGAAAUAAAGAAUAGCCUGUGCCCCUUCCCCACCUCAAGCUUCUUGGGCAAGGUCCGUUGCUAACUCUGAGUCUCUCCGAGGUCACUUACAUCUAUAAUUGCUUCAGGGUAACUGUUGUAAUGCUUGCACCAAAAUCACCCUUUAUGCUCCAUGAAACAAACGGCUUUAAAGUCAUCUUUCAGCAGCUUUAUUUUGGGUUUACUAAAUUACUUAUUCUACAAUAAACCUGAUGAGAGGCAUGCUUCAUUAUUCUUGAGUUCUACUCUAGCAAAAGUAUAACAAAUGUGGAUUCAAGCACUUCUGGUUGCUUGUCUGUUUCAUCCAUCCUUUCAUUCCUUCCCUCCCUCUCAGCAUCUUGCUUUACCCUGGAUGCUGGCAUCUCCUGUGCUGUGGAGAUGGGGAUUAGUUUGUAGAAGGAGAUAACUCCCCCAGUCCUGGUAGUUUUCAUCAACCCUCUGACGGGUGUAAAAUCAGGACAAUGGAAAAGCGGAUAGUAGUACAAAAUAGUUAAAAUCAAACCCUGAACUCAGAGUUCAAAGACUGACUAUGCCACUUGGAAAGGAUGUUUUUGGGGGUUAGCAGUAUCUGUUUCACUGUGUAAAGCACCUACCACAAUGUCCGGCACCUAUUAAGCUAAAAGGAGAAUGCUGUUUCAACUAAAGCAUGACAUAUUGGAACUAACAAAGGUUUCGAAUUUAGACACAUGUGAUUGAAAUCUCAGAUGGAACAUAUCCAGCAUAUCUUGAAUUUGAAUUUCAAAACCCGAAUUAAAGUAUUUAAACUUUCCUUCAUAACAGGCAUCACCCCCAACCCCAGGAUACUUAAGGAUAAAUCUAGAACAUGAUUAAAUACC